GUAUUGGAAUUACAGAUUCUUAACACUAUUGUGAGAAGUGAGUGAGGACUUAGAUAAACAGAAUGAAUGUGUGAUAAGUCAGGCACCCUCAUCCUCUUCUCUGCAUCCUGCAGGGAACCUUACCCUGCCGGGUACAGCAAAGGAAAAUUCACUGGAUUUCUUGGGGAGAAGGACGAUGAAAACUCAUCUUCAGAAAGUGUUUCACCUGGCUUGGUUUUAAGGGAAGAUAGAAAAACAAGAACCCCACGCCCUGGACCCCAACACUUGCAGACAUAUCCGAGAUGUUGGUCUUUCUCCCCUGAGACCUGCUUCCAGCAUGCUACCAGGGUGACUUCGGCUUAGAUGCAACUGGAUUUCUUUUAAAGAGUAUUUCCUCUUUAGUUCCACUAUCAGGAUUGACCGUGUUUAUUAGGCUUACAAGGGGCUGAAAAUGGCAUCUCCAGUAAUCACUAAAUACUAGUGG
Long non-coding RNA from Ochotona curzoniae (black-lipped pika), 463 nucleotides. RefSeq lists it as uncharacterized. Lineage: Eukaryota; Metazoa; Chordata; Mammalia; Lagomorpha; Ochotonidae. The record is from RefSeq and is a predicted model, not a curated record. The transcript is spliced from 2 exons.